This 403-nucleotide ribosomal RNA is filed under the name uncultured bacterium. RNAcentral describes it as "bacterial SSU rRNA". It matches the Rfam family "Bacterial small subunit ribosomal RNA", at positions 975 to 1375 of the family's 1533-position model. The record is from RNAcentral.
CAAGGCUUGACAUCCAUAGAAUCCUUAAGAGAUUAGGGAGUGCCCUUCGGGGAACUAUGAGACAGGUGGUGCAUGGUUGUCGUCAGCUCGUGUCGUGAGAUGUUGGGUUAAGUCCCGCAACGAGCGCAACCCCUAUAUUCAGUUACCAGCAUGUAAUGAUGGGAACUCUGGAUAGACUGCCGGUGACAAACCGGAGGAAGGUGGGGAUGACGUCAAAUCAUCAUGCCCCUUAUGUCUUGGGCUACACACGUGCUACAAUGGACGGUACAGACGGACGCGAAGCCGUGAGGUGAAGCAAAUCCGAGAAAGCCGUUCUCAGUUCGGAUUGUAGGCUGCAACUCGCCUACAUGAAGUCGGAAUCGCUAGUAAUCGCAGGUCAGCACACUGCGGUGAAUACGUUCCC